This 611-nucleotide ribosomal RNA is filed under the name Staphylococcus aureus. RNAcentral's name for it is "bacterial SSU rRNA". It matches the Rfam family "Bacterial small subunit ribosomal RNA", at positions 1 to 594 of the family's 1533-position model. Lineage: Bacteria; Bacillati; Bacillota; Bacilli; Caryophanales; Staphylococcaceae. The record is from RNAcentral.
UUUAUGGAGAGUUUGAUCCUGGCUCAGGAUGAACGCUGGCGGCGUGCCUAAUACAUGCAAGUCGAGCGAACGGACGAGAAGCUUGCUUCUCUGAUGUUAGCGGCGGACGGGUGAGUAACACGUGGAUAAACUACCUAUAAGACUGGGAUAACUUCGGGAAACCGGAGCUAAUACCGGAUAAUAUUUUGAACCGCAUGGUUCAAAAGUGAAAGACGGUCUUGCUGUCACUUAUAGAUGGAUCCGCGCUGCAUUAGCUAGUUGGUAAGGUAACGGCUUACCAAGGCAACGAUGCAUAGCCGACCUGAGAGGGUGAUCGGCCACACUGGAACUGAGACACGGUCCAGACUCCUACGGGAGGCAGCAGUAGGGAAUCUUCCGCAAUGGGCGAAAGCCUGACGGAGCAACGCCGCGUGAGUGAUGAAGGUCUUCGGAUCGUAAAACUCUGUUAUUAGGGAAGAACAUAUGUGUAAGUAACUGUGCACAUCUUGACGGUACCUAAUCAGAAAGCCACGGCUAACUACGUGCCAGCAGCCGCGGUAAUACGUAGGUGGCAAGCGUUAUCCGGAAUUAUUGGGCGUAAAGCGCGCGUAGGCGGUUUUUUAAGUCUGAUG